Ictalurus punctatus (channel catfish) is the source of this 7918-nucleotide long non-coding RNA. NCBI's taxonomy places the organism in Eukaryota, Metazoa, Chordata, Actinopteri, Siluriformes, Ictaluridae. The record is from Ensembl.
UUCAAAAUCUGCAAAAUGGUCUUCUUUUUUUUUGGAAAUAAGAGGGAUCAUAAAAAUUGUUUUUAUUUAGUCCUGCCCUGAAUAAGCUAUUUCACAUAACAGAUGUUUACAUAUAGUCCACAAGACACAGUAAUAACUGAAUUUACACAAAUUUGGGUCAGUACUAAAUUAAAAAAAAUAAAUAAAUAAAACUGCAAUGUUUAUGAUCCUUCUUGUUUUGUUGUGUUUUUUUAAUUAUUAACAUUUUGCAGAUUCUUCAAGGCGUAUGUAAACUUAUUAUCUCAACUGUAAGUAAAGUAAUGAAGCACAAUUACUCAAGUAUUUUCCAACCCUGUGUAAUGUGUAUAUAGUGAACAUAGCCUAUGUAGUGAACGCUGUAUAAGGGUUCAUUUCUUCAGUAGUAUUUAAAGCUUGCUUAGAUCUUGCUGUUCCUUGUUUUAGGUGAAUACAGAGCUGAUUCUGGUAUUAACUUUGAUAUUUUUGAAGCCACUGGUUAUUAAUAGCUAUACUCUGUGUAACGGCUCAUGUCUCUGCAGUGGCUGCUCAGGCUGCUGGCUGUGUGAGCGCGCUCAGAUGUGACACCUCAGCAGGACAGACCUGUACAGCCAGGACUAUACAUACGUCAUCCACCUGGACCUGCGUUAUUUCUCUCUCGCUCUCACUCUCUCUCCAUUUCAUUUCAUUUACAUCACACUAUCUCUGGGCCUUGUUCCGAUCGCUUCCACCCACCCACCAACCCAUCCAUCCCUCCAUUACAUAGGUCAUAUGGGUCAUUCCUGAUUAUGGUCCAGACACACGCUCUCUGCUUUUGUGUUUUAAAAUAGAAGCAUAAUAAGGCCUAUGUUCUCUAUUACUAUAUUCUGUAUCAGCCAUUUUUAUUAUUACCAUUAACCAUUGUAUUAACUUUUUACUUAUCUGAUAUAUUGUCUGAUAUAUUGUCUGAUCUCACAAUUAUGUUUGGUUUAUUUGAUUAAUAUGAUUUUUUGUCUAAUUUUGCACAAACUCUAUUGUCGUUUCACAAAUAAGCUCUGAAUCUACAAGGACCAGAAAUGACUGAUUCUUCAGUUCUUUAAUUAACUGAUAGAAUCUUAACAAGAAUCAAUUGCAGCCAUAAUCCCAGUACCAGCAUAUUAUCACAUCCUCAUAUAGACCUAGGUUAGAAAAAAAAAACAUGUGAAAUGUAUUAAUAUAAACAGGGUAGAUAUAAUAAAAUGAUCAUAAAUGUUCCAGUGUUAAGAACACAACAGAAAAUAAACAUGAUCGUUUGUAAUAGUUUACCAAAAACAAAAUCUAAAAGUCGGUAACAUCCAAAAUGUCUUAGAGAAAAGAAUGCAAUAAAAAUGCUACAAAAGGCUGGGAUUAGCGUGAGAUAGUAUUCAUUCUGCUUUGAACAUUCAUCCAAUAUUUUAGGAAUUAAACACUUUUGGAAUGCAGUUAUUGGUCUUAAGCCUGAUGUGAACUAAAAAAAAACGGUUUGAUGUUUUUAUUAUCAUCAACUGUAUUAACAGUAUUAUACAUUAUUAUCAGAAUGUAUUAACAGUAUCAGAGGGUGAAGAUGUGUAUUGCCUCAGCUUGUCUUUUUAGUCUUUCUUUCAGUGGGCAUUGGAAUCAAUGAUCUUCCAAAUAAAUCUAAGUAUCCAUAUAUAAACGUGGAUCUUUCUUUUCAUAGUGGAUGCGUAUACAUACACCUCCACACACACACAUGUACACAGGGCUAGGGGAGCGAGAGUGACUGCUGGUAUUAAAAGCGAUGUCUCAGCAGCGCUGCACGCAUCGCCUCUAUUCUUGUCGCUCUGACGCCACGCACCGCGUCAUCACGCCAUCGCUCCCUCCUCCGCUACGUUCUCCCUCUCUCCCUCCUUCCAGCUCUCUCUAGUAACUGGCUCGCUCUGCUGCCUCCUCCCCUUGUUCCCUUUCCUCUCUCGCUCUCUCACACACAGCCACACAUGCUUGCUAACACACUUUUUAUACGCUCUCGUCCUUUUUCCCGAACCCCUAUUUAUAGACAUGUAUUUAUGCAAGACAGAGCAGAGGUUGCCCCAGGCAACAGGCCAAGCAUUUCUGGAAAGGAACACCUGUCAGUCUGGAAACUGCUGUUUCCAUUCUGGGAUCUUCCUCUUGCUCUUCUUCUUCUUCCUCUUGUACCAUUUAUUCGAGUAGCUCAGGGUGCUUUUGAGUCUCUGGGUGUCCAUCUUUGUGCACGUGGAUCUUCCUUCUCUCUCUCUCUCUCUCUCUCUCUCUCUCUCUCUCUCUCUGUCUCUGUCUGUCUGUGGCCUGUAGAUCUGGCGUGAGUUAAGCUGUGUCUAGCUGUACACUACACAGUUGUCAGGCCACACACUGAGGAACAUCCUGUCAUCUCCCGGGACAUACACCUCCCACAGAGCAAGAUCACAUCUCUCUAAAUCGUGGUCAUACCAUUACACUUACACCCCAGCAGAGUCUGUACAAUCAGAAUGGGUCAGACAAAUGAAUUUCUCUCUCUCUCUCUCUCUCUCUCUCUCUCUCUCUCUCUCUCAAUCAAAAACACACAUACCCGCACAUGUAGACACUUCAGAGUCCAGGCUAAUGCCUUAGCUACACCAGAACCAGAAAGAGUCACUAACAUGCAGCACAACCUUUAGGUGACCUUGACAAAUCUUCAGAAAUACAACAGCUUUACGCCAGGUAUUAAUUCAAUAAAAUGUAUUUUAGCUACAUUUAUCUGCAAGACCACUAAUGAUUCAGACUGGUUUAGUAUAUUCCAGCCAGAUGAAGGAAAAUGCUGGCUUUCAGCAGAUGACGCGAAUCAGUCUGUCACAAAGCACAGAAAUAAGAGCACUUCCAUUCAUGUACUCCAUAUCCACCCUGAAACACAUUAAAUACUGAUGCUAAUCUGUUGGUUGAUGCUGUAUUUUCAUUAUUCCUGUGAGAAGUUAGUGGAAGUGUGCUGCUCUGAUGUCACAGGGGGGUAUUGUUAUUGCUAAGACAGUUACAAUGGAUUUUAAUAGGAGAAUUUCAUAGGAGAAUCUCAGUCAUAACAAACGAGCAAGAGUUCCUUUUCUCACGCACCAUUUUCCAGCGAUGUUCACCAUCAUAUCAAUGAGGAAAUCGAAUAUAGAAACGUAGAGCCAGUACAAAGGUUUGACUCAAAUGCAAAUAUUCCUGAAUGUUUGGUUUUGGAGUAGAGCUACCAGGCUACUCUUAUUAACAAGUAAAGGAAGCUAUUCGCAGGGAACUCGGGGCACAAGGCACGGGACACCCUGGCCAGGCUGCCAGCCCAUUUAAAGGGCACACAUACAUUCACACACAAUUUGGAAAUGCCAAUCAGCCUAUAACGCAGGUCUUUGGACUGGGGGUGGAAACCGACGUACCCAGAGGAAACCCUCAAAGCACGGGGAGAGCAUGCAAACUCUGUGCAUACAGAGUGGAGGUGGGAUUCCAACCCCCAAGGUGGAGGUACGAGGCAAAUGUGCUAAAUACUAAGCUACCAUGCCCCUCACCAAAGUAUGUUCUGGGGGGAAAACAUGGUUUCAGCUUCAAGGUGUCAGCUACAGCUGUUUUAACUCUGCGAUGUCCUUUUGUGCAGGUUUAAAGAGAGGAGUGUAUCGUACAGUGUUAGAAAUCAUAUAAAGCAACUCUGAAACAGCUUAGUAUGCUUUAAAGUGGCUGUGUGAUGAUUUAGACAUAGUUAGCACAAUGCUAGCUUCCAUUACUUGUUAGCUAGAUUAGCCUAGAUUAUUUUCUUACGUACAAAAACAUUCAGCAUUUUUCUGUCCUCUUUGUUGCAGUUAGCCUGGUUGUUGCUUGAAAGAUGAAAAGUGAAACUUAAUUAAAGUAGUUUGAAUCUUUUGCAUUAAUCAUAGCUGUGCUCCUGAGCAAUUAAUCUGUAUGCCAGAUGUUUGUUCUUACCUUUACAGAAGUUAUUACUGCCCUUUAACAUAGCAUGACGAAUCUUCUUGUAGUGGCUGGAAGAUUAACUAUAUGUAUGACAAAUGUAUAUGCAGUCAGCAUUAUAUGGGAUAUAAUGAAUGUACCACAAAACACCAAAUCAGGAAUCAUAAAAUCUUAAUUAAUUCGAAAUGUAACUAUUUUUCUCCUCAUAAAGGCCAACUGCACUGCAGCUUUGCAAAACUAGAGUUCCUGUGGUGUUCACUGAUUCAGACAUUCAGGAGGGGGGGAAUAAAUAGAUUCCUCCAAACCACCUCCCUCCAUCUGUGUCCACCUUGUCCCAGUCUCAUCCUCCUGUCCCUCCACCCACUCCGUUUUCCCCCUUUAUUGUAGCCGUUGCUGGGCCGCAGUGACAUGGCACAGAGCCUGUUCCUGCCAGCGAGAGUAAUUCGGCGCUGUUCCACCGGGGGCGGCUCCAGGAAUAGAGCCAGAUUUGUAGUGCAGCAUGUGGGGGUGUAUUCAUCAGCCGUGAAGGGAGGGAAAAGGAGUUGGGGGGGCUGUGGAAGUCAUACAUCCAGAGGGACCAGAAGCUAAGGAGGAGGGGGAAAGUUGUGUAAAGAAUCUGCCAAGAUGCAAAUAUAGCUCGGGCUGGCACGUUGAUGUUGAUGAACACAAUACUAGUGAAGUCGUCAGCAGGGCAUAUUUAAACAUGCAAUGCUGAAUGUGUUUGCAAGAAUGGUAAUUGCAUGACAUUUUGAUGAAGAUCGCUGGAAAUGCAUCCCGACGCCUCUACGCUCCGUAAACUUGCAUCACACUCGGAGCUAUUUACCAGUCAGCGCAGUCACUCAAACCCGUGGACGUUUUCUAUAAAUGACCUCUUUCAUUAGCGGGUGUAGAGGGAGUCAGUGCUUACGAAUGAGAACAACAAUAUGGGUAAAAUGUCAGCUUUUUGGGUGUGAAGGCAUCACUUACUGACUAAUGCAUCACUCAAAUUCAAUUUGACUGCUUGCCCCCACAAUGAAUGUUCAGCUGCAUUUGUGAACAGUUUACGUCAACUCUGUGACUAUACUGGAAUUAGACAAACAAGUGUUCAGAGUUCCCAUGUUCAUACACAUAGCUUAAAGCUUUUGAUCAAUACUAGCACCUGUUUCUGGUUUGUUCACACCUGCUCCUAGAUGUUCCGAUUAUUAUUGUCUUAUUAUUCUGCAUAUAGGGUACCAAAGGGCUCUUUUAAGGAAAAUAUAUGACUGAGGUAGCUAAGACCAAUGUAACACAUAGACUCCAAAUACUAAGCUAAUUCUAUUUUUCCCCAAAUUCACUGACAUACAGUAUAUAGUCAAUUUAAGAAAUAUUGGCAUCCUUGAUAAAUAUGGGCAAAAAUGUUCAUACUGAAUUACUUUCACCUGAUUGUUUAGGAGCUCCUAUGCUUGCUAUGUCCUUGACGUCUUGUUUUACUGAGGUGACACAGAGGCGCAAUUUCCUUAGUCAUCCAUCAGCAUGGGGAAUAUUAGCGGAUACACAAUAUGCCCUGACUAUUUAUAAAAUGCUACGUGCCUGAAAAUGCCCAUAUUCAUUGAUAGGGAAAGAAAUUAAAACAAUUACUGUACUGUAAUGAACGUGCCUGGAAGAGGAUGAAUGUGUAUUUUGCCUGUAUGCACACCGAGGAUGGUUUGAUAGGUAAAAAUUUCUGCAAGAAUCUUGGUUUGCAGAAGAUAGUAAAAUUAUGGGGACAUCAAGUCUCAAAUUCUACAAUUAGAUGCCAUUUCAUUGGCAACAAACUAUUUGGAAUAUGAAAAUUAACAUAUUUUAAAAAAAACAACACAUGCAUUCAGUGAUAUUUUGAGUUCAAAUGCAGAGAGAUAUUGUAUAGUUUUAUUUUAAACAUGUGUAAUUGUAAUAUUAACAAUAAUAUCUUUGCUAUUAAUAUUUUUAUGCCUGCCCUGGAGAGAAUAACAUCACUAAAUCACUUCCUGUAAUGUCUUGGUCCAUUCCUCUAUGCAGAACAUUUUAGGCUCCCGUAUAGUCUUAGGUUUGUUUGUGGAUGUCCCUCUUCAAUUAAUUUCCAAACAGGUUUUUAUUAUGACAGGGGCAUUUCCUGAAACGUGACAAACACAAGAAUCAUCUCAACUGUACCAUUCUAAACCUGUGGUCUUUGGACUCUUUAUUCCCUCCUCUCAGUGUGUGGGAGUACAGUGCUCAUUGGUUCAAUUCCUGGCACGUAUUCAACUGUUUUUACAGAAGUAUUUUCAUCUGCUUCUGUAUUUUUUUUUAGAUCCAUUACCUCAUCUGCGAAGGUCAACAACCAUCUUUCUGUUUUGUUUUGGAAGAUCUUUGGUUUUCCUAUGGUAAUGGAUGACGGAGAUUUUAAAUGUGGGCAACCUUGAAUUUAUGUAUCUGUUCAUUCAUCUUUACUUUAUCCAGAUCAGGGUCACGGUGGAUCUGGACCAUUAUAUGCCACCCUGGGCAUAAGGCAGGAGAAUUCAUCACGGAUGGGAUGCCAGUCCGUUUCAGGGCACCGUACACACUCUGGAGAACCCAGAGGAAACCCACAUGGACACAGGGAAAACAUGUGAUGCUCCACAUAGUCAGUAACCUGGUCUCAGGAUCGAACGAGGGAUGUUAGAGCUGUGAGGCGGCAAUGCUACCUGCUGCACCAUCCACCUCAAAUUUAUACCUCAGUGUAACUGCAUUGUCCUGGUCAGGGUGGUGGUGGAUCCGGAGCCUAUCCCAGGAACACUGGGCACGAGGCAGGAAUACACCCUGAAUGGACUGCCAGUCCACUAAAGAAAGACCAGGCCUUCGCUCCUUUCUAAAUGGGUUGGAGAGAAGCAAAAAGCACAGAUGACAACAGGAACCACCGGGUGAUGCUGAUGAAGAGACAAUUUGUUUUCCACAUGAUGUCUACCCCUCCGUCUUUCCCUUCCACCUGUUCCCUCUGCAUUUCUCGCUCUCUUCUCUCACAUCCUCCUCCAGGAAAAUUGGGCAAGCAUUGCAUAAGCGCUGGAGGAGUGGUGGGGGUGACGGACGUGGAGAACUGAAGAGAAGGUGGGGGUUGAGGCAGAGUGGAAAUUGAUGGAAAUGCAAAGAGGAGGAUGGGAAAGCAUGCCCUUUCUCCCCCUCAUUCUCCCUCUCCGGUGCUGUCUGGCAUGCGUCCUGCUGAAAGUAGGCUAUGUUUGACGCGCUUGAGGGUAAGGCUGAGUCACAAUACGCCACUGAAUACUAAACCCACUGAUUGCAUUGGACUAAGGCUUUAGCCUGCAUCAUUGCAAUAUCUUGCAUGAUACAAUAUCAGUCCAUCAUCCUCAUCAUCUUCUCCACAAGAUGUGGUGCCAGUGACGGCAGGAUUAGCAAAGACAAUUGGAGGUGGUGUUGAAUAAAUAACUAAGUAUGCUUAAUCUAGGUAUGUUUCAUUACGAUUAAUGGCAAAAGUAUGUUUGGUAUCCAAAAUGACUCAUUUUAUUUCCUUAAAAACUGCGAGUUUGGAUAUGAGAAUGUGGAAUUCAGUGCUCUCUUCGACAAUACAGGCCAAUAUCAAAGUCCUGCACAGUUUCCUGUUUCUCUGUUACUUCCUCAAACACUUGGACGGUGACGUUCCUGGAGGGGGGAAAAAGAGCGUAAUGGAGAAGUAUACAAGCACACUUCAUUGCAUAUGAACUCAACUGAGCAAUAUAUUCAUUAACAUGAUUUACAUCAUGGUCAGUUACAACCCGUGGUAAGAAUGGAUAGGUUUUAUGAAGGGAAUACCACUUUUCUUUUGUCUUUUGUUAAAGAAAAACUUAGUAUUACUGGUACUAUUUGGACUGUCAAUUAAAAUUUGCUUUGAUUUAAAGAACUUGACCAUUCAUUUUGCUCAUAAUCUUUUUUUAUAUAUUUUUUAAUUAUUUGUACAGGUUAAAAAGGGAGGAAAAGGUGGCAAUUACAUUGCAAUAAACAUUGGUAUCUAGCUAAAACUAAUCCAAGCCAGCUUUUCAACAAGAUGGAUUUCAAGAAGGCAGAUAAAAGAAAAGAAAGAAAGAAGUAGGCUAUACUUGCUUAUAUACUGUGAUCUCCU